Molecule: ribosomal RNA, 484 nt
Filed under: uncultured bacterium
Lineage: Bacteria
Description: bacterial SSU rRNA
Rfam family: Bacterial small subunit ribosomal RNA
Source: RNAcentral
UUGAACGCUGGCGGCAUGCCUUACACAUGCAAGUCGAACGGCAGCACGGGAGCAAUCCUGGUGGCGAGUGGCGAACGGGUGAGUAAUAUAUCGGAACGUGCCCAGUCGUGGGGGAUAACGUAGCGAAAGCUACGCUAAUACCGCAUACGAUCUAUGGAUGAAAGCGGGGGGAUCGCAAGACCUCGCGCGAUUGGAGCGGCCGAUAUCAGAUUAGGUAGUUGGUGAGGUAAAGGCUCACCAAGCCGACGAUCUGUAGCUGGUCUGAGAGGACGACCAGCCACACUGGGACUGAGACACGGCCCAGACUCCUACGGGAGGCAGCAGUGGGGAAUUUUGGACAAUGGGCGCAAGCCUGAUCCAGCAAUGCCGCGUGCAGGAUGAAGGCCUUCGGGUUGUAAACUGCUUUUGUACGGAACGAAACGGUGAGCUCUAAUACAGCUUGCUAAUGACGGUACCGUAAGAAUAAGCACCGGCUAACUACGUG